RNAcentral lists this ribosomal RNA (497 nucleotides) under uncultured bacterium. Its description in RNAcentral is "partial 16S ribosomal RNA". It matches the Rfam family "Bacterial small subunit ribosomal RNA", at positions 28 to 507 of the family's 1533-position model. The record is from RNAcentral.
GAUGAACGCUGGCGGCGUGCCUAAUACAUGCAAGUCGAGCGAACAGACGAGGAGCUUGCUCCUCUGCCGUUAGCGGCGGACGGGUGAGUAACACGUGGAUAACCUACCUAUAAGACUGGGAUAACUUCGGGAAACCGGAGCUAAUACCGGAUAAUAUAUUGAACCGCAUGGUUCAAUAGUGAAAGACGGCUUUGCUGUCACUUAUAGAUGGAUCCGCGCCGCAUUAGCUAGUUGGUAAGGUAACGGCUCACCAAGGCAACGAUGCGUAGCCGACCUGAGAGGGUGAUCGGCCACACUGGAACUGAGACACGGUCCAGACUCCUACGGGAGGCAGCAGUGGGGAAUCUUCCGCAAUGGGCGAAAGCCUGACGGAGCAACGCCGCGUGAGUGAUGAAGGUCUUCGGAUCGUAAAACCCUGUUAUUAGGGAAGAACAAAUGUGUAAGUAACUAUGCACGUCUUGACGGUACCUAAUCAGAAAGCCCCGGCUAACUACGUG